UGAUGGAAAGUGCAACAGAAAAUAUACCGCCAUUAUGGUAAGGGUGAAAUGGUAAGGUAAGAGCUUACCGCUUGCUUGGUAACAAGCAUGGCAUUGCAAGCCCCACCAGGAGAAAGACCAAAUAGGAACCGUUCGAGCUUCAAAGUUCGAUAUCUCUUAAAUACGGUUCGGGUAGGUCGCUUGAUCCAGUUGGUGACAACUGGGCUAGAUGAAUGGUCAUUGAGCUUAACGGCUUACAAAAUCCGGCUUAUAAGCUUUCCACAACC
RNAcentral lists this RNase P RNA (266 nucleotides) under Paracoccaceae bacterium. Its description in RNAcentral is "Rhodobacteraceae bacterium partial RNase P RNA component class A". It matches the Rfam family "Bacterial RNase P class A", at positions 100 to 367 of the family's 367-position model. Rfam says of the family: Ribonuclease P (RNase P) is a ubiquitous endoribonuclease, found in archaea, bacteria and eukarya as well as chloroplasts and mitochondria. Lineage: Bacteria; Pseudomonadati; Pseudomonadota; Alphaproteobacteria; Rhodobacterales; Paracoccaceae. The record is from RNAcentral.